Molecule: microRNA precursor, 116 nt
Filed under: Triticum dicoccoides
Lineage: Eukaryota; Viridiplantae; Streptophyta; Magnoliopsida; Poales; Poaceae
Source: RNAcentral
AGGCCAUCUUCGGUAGCCAAGGAUGAUUUGCCUGUGAACCUACUGGCUGAGAGGCGAACUCUCGGCGCACCCGAGAGGUUCCACGGGCAAGUCAGCCUGGCUACCCGAGUGCCUCG